This 353-nucleotide ribosomal RNA is filed under the name uncultured bacterium. Its description in RNAcentral is "bacterial SSU rRNA". It matches the Rfam family "Bacterial small subunit ribosomal RNA", at positions 32 to 380 of the family's 1533-position model. The record is from RNAcentral.
AAUCAACGCUGGCGGCGUGCCUAACACAUGCAAGUCGAGCGAGAAAGGGGCUUCGGCCCUGAGUAAAGCGGCGCACGGGUGAGUAACACGUGGGUAAUCUGCCCUAGAGUGGGGAAUAACAUCGGGAAACCGAUGCUAAUACCGCAUACGAUCACGAGGUCUUCGGAUUUUGUGAUGAAAGGAGAAAUCCGCUCUUGGAGGAGCCCGCGGCUGAUUAGCUAGUUGGAAGGUAACGGCUUACCAAGGCAACGAUCAGUAUCCGGUCUGAGAGGACGGUCGGACACACUGGAACUGAGACACGGUCCAGACUCCUACGGGAGGCAGCAGUGGGGAAUUCUUCGCAAUGGGGGAAA